CCUACGGGAGGCAGCAGUAGGGAAUAUUGCUCAAUGGGGGAAACCCUGAAGCAGCAACGCCGCGUGGAGGAUGAAGGUUUUAGGAUUGUAAACUCCUUUUGUGAGAGAAGAUAAUGACGGUAUCCCACUCAUAAGCACCGGCUAACUCCGUGCCAGCAGCCGCGGUAAUACGGAGGGUUCAAGCGUUACUCGGAGUCACUGGGCGUAAAGAGUGCGCAGGCGGGCUUGUAAGUCAGAUGUGAAAUCCUGUAGCUUAACCACAGAACUGCAUUUGAAACUCUGUGUCUAGAGUGUGGGAGAGGUAGAUGGAAUUCGUGGUGUAGGGGUGAAAUCCGUAGAUAUCAGGAGGAAUACUCGUGGCGAAGGCGACCUACUGGAAAAUUACUGACGCUCAGGCGCGAAAGCGUGGGGAGCAAACAGGAUUAGAUACCCGAGUAGUC
This 440-nucleotide ribosomal RNA is filed under the name uncultured bacterium. RNAcentral describes it as "partial 16S ribosomal RNA". It matches the Rfam family "Bacterial small subunit ribosomal RNA", at positions 338 to 795 of the family's 1533-position model. The record is from RNAcentral.